This 484-nucleotide ribosomal RNA is filed under the name uncultured bacterium. Its description in RNAcentral is "partial 16S ribosomal RNA". It matches the Rfam family "Bacterial small subunit ribosomal RNA", at positions 30 to 507 of the family's 1533-position model. The record is from RNAcentral.
AUUGAACGCUGGCGGCAGGCCUAACACAUGCCAGUCGAGCGGAAGAACGGAGCUUGCUCCUGGUUUCAGCGGCGGAGGGGCGAGUAAUGCCUAGGAACCUGCGUGGCAGCGGGGGAUAACGUGCGGAAACGGGGGCUAAUACCGCAUUCGCCCAGAGGGCGUAAGGGGGGGAUCAUCGGACCUUAGGCCAUUAGACGAGCCGAGGUCGGAUUAGCUAGUUGGUGGGGUAAAGGCCUACCAAGGCGACGAUCCGUAACUGGUCUGAGAGGAUGAUCAGUCACACUGGAACUGAGACACGGUCCAGACUCCUACGGGAGGCAGCAGUGGGGAAUAUUGGACAAUGGGCGAAAGCCUGAUCCAGCCAUGCCGCGUGUGUGAAGAAGGUCUUCGGAUUGUAAAGCACUUUAAGUUGGGAGGAAGGGCAGUAAGUUAAUACCUUGCUGUUUUGACGUUACCAACAGAAUAAGCACCGGCUAACUUCGUG